ACCGAGCCGGGUCGCGGGGGCUCCUAGGGGGUUCCUUCCACAGCUGAUGCGCGUGCGCAAGAGUGCGUCGAGGUUGUUCCGCGGCAAUUUAUGAAACUCGGCGCCGGCAGUGAGUUGAGGGUUCGGCGAGGUCAGGGAUUCCUAGUUGCAGCGUGAUUACCAACGCCAGCUCCCUUCACUGUCCAAGACAGCGAUUCCGCGGCUCCUCUCAGAACUGGCGCUUUGUUCAUCAUUUACCAUUUAAGCUACUUGCAGUCACGUCACACCUUGGAUCUCUAUCAUCAAAACUAUUCCACCUCGGAAAUCUUACCUAAAUGCAGCAUGCCAUCCUGAACGUCUCUCCCUGUCCUAGCUCUGUAACUGUUUACAUUGCUCAGGUACCUGAAUAUUGGCUUUGUGUCUAAAGUUUCUGGAACUUUCCUCCUUACCGUGAAAUAACUUGGCUUAAAUCACACUGCAUAUAGUACACAGGUGCUUAGCUCAAGCCUGAGAAUUACUGCAAUCUAGUAAGGCGGAUUUGAACUACUGUGGGAGUUCUAUUUAGGAAGAUGCAGCCUCUGAGCAAGUUGAUGGCUAUCUCAAAACCUCGAAACCUGUCUGUACGUGAACAAAGAGAGGUUCUGAGAGCAGAUAUGUCUUGGCAGCAGGAAACCAUCCCCGUCGUGGAGACACAUGACUCUGAGGCAUCUCGUCAAAAGUUCAGACAUUUCCAGUAUUUGAAAAUGUCUGGGCCCCAUGAAGCCCUGAGCCAACUCUGGGAGCUCUGUCUUCAAUGGCUGAGACCAGAGAUUCAUACAAAGAAGCAGAUUAUAGAACUGUUGGUGCUGGAACAAUUCCUGGCAAUCCUGCCUGAAGAAGUCAGGACUUGGGUGAAUUUACAACAUCCAAACAACAGUGAAGAUAUGGUGACCCUCAUAGAAGAUGUGAUUGAAAUGCUUGAAGAUGAAGAUAUGCCCUGCAAGGACUCUGCCCCGCAGAUGGGGAGCAUCAAGGAGAAAAUGAAAGCUGGCUCACGAACAGGCAAACCACAGACAUGAAGAGUAUUUCUGGAGAAGAAUCAUCCCAUGGAGUGAUUAUGACAAGGCUUACCGAAAGUGGACACCCUUCUUCAGAUGCCUGGAAAGGUGAGAAUUGGUUAUAUAGGAACCAGAAAAAAUGGGACAUAAAUUUGCCACAAGAGGCUUUCAUUCCUGAGACAAUUUACACUGAGGAGGAAGAUUUUGAAUGUAGUGAAAAUAAGAAAAGCUUUGAUAUUAAUUCAAUUAGCUCAAUUUGUGCUAUACAACAGGGAAUUCCUUCAAGAAAGGGGUCUCCAAAAUGUGAUAAGUUUAAAACUCACUUCAAAUUUAAUUUAGACUCAGUAGGUAAGCAACAUUCAGAAUAUGAAUAUGGGAAUGACUUGAGUUUGAGUACAGAUAUUCGACACCAAAAAAGUCAUACUACAAUGAAUUC
This 1452-nucleotide small RNA is filed under the name Pan troglodytes (chimpanzee). RNAcentral's name for it is "processed transcript". The record is from RNAcentral. Lineage: Eukaryota; Metazoa; Chordata; Mammalia; Primates; Hominidae.